Molecule: transfer RNA, 68 nt
Filed under: Lutraria rhynchaena
Lineage: Eukaryota; Metazoa; Mollusca; Bivalvia; Venerida; Mactridae
Description: tRNA-Met
Source: RNAcentral
UGAAGGAGUAAACUAAGUAAAGUUUUUUGGCUCAUGACCAAAGUAUAGAUGUGUCUCGUCUCUCCUUU